This 653-nucleotide long non-coding RNA is filed under the name Prunus dulcis (almond). Its description in RNAcentral is "sRNA ncRNA". The record is from RNAcentral. Lineage: Eukaryota; Viridiplantae; Streptophyta; Magnoliopsida; Rosales; Rosaceae.
ACGAAAAAAAUAUGAAUGAAAGUAAUAAAACUAAAUAUGACAAUGCCUCAGAAUUGCAGAAAGUCAGCACGGCUUAUAAAUAAGCCAAUCAGUCCCGAAAGAUGGUGUGUUUUAUAACUGAUUUCAUCACCGGCAAAGACUUAAAAACUAUUCCAACAAAACAAUAUCAUAAAAUUCUGAAGAGAAAAAAUGUCGGUCUCAUGGCCAAUCCCAAAUGGUAAAGGCAGUAAACACCGCUCCACAAGGCGAUAGGAUAUGACACCACUCAUCGACGGAGGAGCUCCAUCCCAAGAGGGAGGGAGGACCAUCAACGUCGACGAGAAUUUGUAUGCGACGUUUACUUGGGAAUGUACAGACACCAAUUGCCUGCUCCUUCAAGUUGGAGACUGAUCAAUGCCCCCCGUCACAAAUUUCACAAAUUUAUCAAACAAAUAGAAAAGCUUUUUGCAAAAACUUGACGACCCAAUGGUCCCCAUAUUUGGAAAAACAACGAAUCUUAUAGCUAAACUCGAAGAACAAUCAACCAGACUAAAAAGGAUGAAGCUUUGGUGAUUGAUCAAACAAUCUCUAAGAUGAAACAAAAAUCCCUAAAGAGACUGACUGAAUGAAAACCAGUAGAAGACAGAGGCACAGACUAAAACCCUAGCACCGAG